RNAcentral lists this ribosomal RNA (497 nucleotides) under uncultured bacterium. RNAcentral describes it as "partial 16S ribosomal RNA". It matches the Rfam family "Bacterial small subunit ribosomal RNA", at positions 28 to 507 of the family's 1533-position model. The record is from RNAcentral.
GAUGAACGCUGGCGGCGUGCCUAAUACAUGCAAGUCGAGCGAACGGACGAGAAGCUUGCUUCUCUGAUGUUAGCGGCGGACGGGUGAGUAACACGUGGAUAACCUACCUAUAAGACUGGGAUAACUUCGGGAAACCGGAGCUAAUACCGGAUAAUAUUUUGAACCGCAUGGUUCAAAAGUGAAAGACGGUCUUUCUGUCACUUAUAGAUGGAUCCGCGCUGCAUUAGCUAGUUGGUAAGGUAACGGCUUACCAAGGCAACGAUGCCUAGCCGACCUGAGAGGGUGAUAGGCCACACUGGAACUGAGACGGGGUCCAGACUCCUACGGGAGGCAGCAGUAGGGAACCUUCCGCAAUGGGCGAAAGCCUGACGGAGCAACGGCGAGUGAGUGAUGGAGGUCUUCGGUUCGUAAAACUCUGUUAUUAGGGAAAAACAUAUGUGUAAGUAACUGUGCACAGCUUGACGGUACCUGGUCAGAAAGCCACGGCUAACUACGUG